Molecule: ribosomal RNA, 463 nt
Filed under: Escherichia coli
Lineage: Bacteria; Pseudomonadati; Pseudomonadota; Gammaproteobacteria; Enterobacterales; Enterobacteriaceae
Also listed under: 2 other names
Description: partial 23S ribosomal RNA
Rfam family: Bacterial large subunit ribosomal RNA
Source: RNAcentral
UGGUGGGUAGUUUGACUGGGGCGGUCUCCUCCUAAAGAGUAACGGAGGAGCACGAAGGUUGGCUAAUCCUGGUCGGACAUCAGGAGGUUAGUGCAAUGGCAUAAGCCAGCUUGACUGCGAGCGUGACGGCGCGAGCAGGUGCGAAAGCAGGUCAUAGUGAUCCGGUGGUUCUGAAUGGAAGGGCCAUCGCUCAACGGAUAAAAGGUACUCCGGGGAUAACAGGCUGAUACCGCCCAAGAGUUCAUAUCGACGGCGGUGUUUGGCACCUCGAUGUCGGCUCAUCACAUCCUGGGGCUGAAGUAGGUCCCAAGGGUAUGGCUGUUCGCCAUUUAAAGUGGUACGCGAGCUGGGUUUAGAACGUCGUGAGACAGUUCGGUCCCUAUCUGCCGUGGGCGCUGGAGAACUGAGGGGGGCUGCUCCUAGUACGAGAGGACCGGAGUGGACGCAUCACUGGUGUUCGGGU